UGUGGCUUAAAAGUGACUAGGUUACCAAGUUUUUUUUAACUGUUGUAUGUUUGGGAUUGUAGCAGUCGGUCCGCCGGAGAGGUGGAUUGGUCUCGGCUGCGCUGGCUGGUGGAGAAAGCACACGCACCUGGGUUGCGUUAGCUAAUCAGGGAGCUAACACCGAGAGCGCAGUUAUGAUUUUCGGUUCGUUUUAUUUGGAGCUCUGAAAAGAAAGGAACCCUCAGCUGGGAUGCUGGAGGAGCUGGACCUGGCUGGGAAGGAGCACAGUUGACCCACAGCACAGCUUUGUUCUCCCUUUCAUCUGCCAGACGACUCUAGUGCACAUCCUGCCAGUGAUGCGAGAACAACAGCAACAUAUCACUGCAGAUGAGCCAGUGCAGGCAAGAUGAGAGGCCCGCAUCUACCAGAGCAACAGGGAUGAACCCAAUACGACUAGCGCAACUCGAGAGCUGCAGCUGGAACUCCAAGGCACUCAACCACGUGUAUUCAAUGUGUAUUUCAACAAUGACUGGGAAGGAAGUGAAGAGGAGGCCGGUAAAAUGCCUGUUAGUUAAUCUAACUGAGCUCGACAGAGCCUAAGUUAAAGGAAUGUAUCAUACUGCUUUAAAAAAGAAACAAUAAAUGAUCUUGGUGUGUAUAAAAAACGCUAUAUGAUGCUAAAUAAACAUGUAGGUACAUGCUGA
This is a long non-coding RNA of Anguilla rostrata (American eel), 683 nucleotides long. RefSeq lists it as uncharacterized. The record is from RefSeq and is a predicted model, not a curated record. NCBI's taxonomy places the organism in Eukaryota, Metazoa, Chordata, Actinopteri, Anguilliformes, Anguillidae. The transcript has 2 exons.